CACGUAGGGCGCAAGCGUUGUCCGGAAUUACUGGGUGUAAAGGGUUCGUAGGCGGUGCGGCAAGUUGGGAGUGAAAUCUCUGGGCUUAACCCAGAGGCUGCUUCCAAAACUGCUGUGCUUGAGUGUGGGAGAGGCGCGUGGAAUUGCAGGUGUAGCGGUGAAAUGCGUAGAUAUCUGCAGGAACACCCGUGGCGAAAGCGGCGCGCUGGACCACUACCGACGCUGAGGAACGAAAGCUAGGGGAGCAAACAGG
Molecule: ribosomal RNA, 253 nt
Filed under: uncultured bacterium
Lineage: Bacteria
Description: partial 16S ribosomal RNA
Rfam family: Bacterial small subunit ribosomal RNA
Source: RNAcentral